Ictalurus punctatus (channel catfish) is the source of this 1402-nucleotide long non-coding RNA. RefSeq lists it as uncharacterized. Lineage: Eukaryota; Metazoa; Chordata; Actinopteri; Siluriformes; Ictaluridae. The transcript is spliced from 8 exons. The record is from RefSeq and is a predicted model, not a curated record.
AGGCUGCAUUGGUCUUUCGCUCUGCACAAUAGAGGACAAACCGCCUGCGUGUCAACACGGACUUCUGGGUGAAACUUUUCCACAGACGUCCUCCAUUUUUGCUUGUUGUCCAGAAAAGCUGAAAAGACUCGUGCAGCCCAGCCAGGAAACGCCAAAUUGUUGUGGAAAUUAGACAACACUCACAGACUCGUCCUCUGAAGAAACUCCUACUUCCACAAGACCUGUUCCCAUAGUAACACUUCACAAACUCAAGCAUGGUGCUUACUCUCAGAUAACCAAGGAGAACAUGAACCAAGACCCAAAUCUUGAGUGUCAUCCAAAUCAGAAUUCAAACUCAGAGGAUGAGGAGAAUGAUUUUUGGGAAAAGCCAUGUGCCUUCACUCCAGAGUCAAGACUGGAUGCAUGUCGCCAUCUAGAGGAGAAGAGGAGAGCAAAAGAGAGAGUGAGAGAACCAAAGAGGAAGGAUAAACCUCCCAGAACUCUGAUCACGUCUGAGGGAAGAGUGCUGAACGUGAAUGAACCAAAGUUGGACUUUACUCUAAGUGAAAAUGAAGAAAAGAACUGUGUGCUUCUGGAUCUGCAUGUAUACAGGCAUUUAGACACCUCCUUGCUGGAUGUGGAUGUUCAGACUACAGGGUGACUGUCAAAGGAAAGUGAUUUGUUGGAGUUUUUACAGGUGUUUCAGUUGGUUUGCCUGCUGAGGUUAAAACAGACAGAAGUACAGCACAAAGAUCUCAAACUUCUGGACACCUGCUUAUCACCAUGCUCAAGGGUGAUUUCUAGUUGUCAGAGAUUAGAAGUUGACCCCAGCAAAAGCUUUGCUGUACAAUUGGCCAACAUUGUCCCUAAAGAAAACCACACUACUCAUGGUCCCCUGCAGCUCUCCUGGCCUUGUUGAUCCCAAGAGAAGCCUGUCUCGAAAGACUUUGUCAAUGACCCCGAAGUGCCUCCUCUCAUGUGAGAAACACAAAGAAAGGAAGAAUGUGAGAGAAUGCAUGUAACUGUGUAUAAACCAUGCUUGAUAGCAGUUAUAAAUUCCAGUUUUGGACACUCCAGGCACUGAAUGUUUUGGAAUUUCGCUAAUCAAAUCAAUAAGACUUAUUAAAUAGUUCAAAAGCAGAGUUGUGUGAACAGUGAAAUCAUGAGAUUCCCAAACUUUGAGGAUCAUUGGUGUAAGUGUAUGAGUUAUUUGGAAAGUCAACAUGUAGACUGACUAUUGUUACAACAAAUGGUAAAAUAUUGGUGGUUUAGAGGUUUAUAGGGGUUAGUCUGUAGGGGGCAGAUUUGGGAUGGUAAAAAUGGCUCUAAUUUUAAUAGCAAAACUGUGCACAGUGGUGUUCAGACCUCAAAUGUAUAGACCUCAAAUGUAACAACUGAUAACAGUCAUGUCUCAGAUACAGUU